UACAGAGGGGGCAAGCGUUGUUCGGAAUUACUGGGCGUAAAGGGCGCGUAGGCGGCCUGUUAAGUCGAACGUGAAAUCCCCGGGCUCAACCCGGGAACUGCGUCCGAUACUGGCAGGCUUGAAUUCGGGAGAGGGAUGUGGAAUUCCAGGUGUAGCGGUGAAAUGCGUAGAUAUCAGUCGGAACACCAGUGGCGAAGGCGGCUUCUUGGGCCAUUACUGACGCUGAGGCGCGAAAGCCAGGGGAGCGAACGGG
Molecule: ribosomal RNA, 253 nt
Filed under: uncultured bacterium
Lineage: Bacteria
Description: partial 16S ribosomal RNA
Rfam family: Bacterial small subunit ribosomal RNA
Source: RNAcentral